RNAcentral lists this long non-coding RNA (443 nucleotides) under Bos indicus x Bos taurus (hybrid cattle). RNAcentral's name for it is "lncRNA (ENSBIXG00000000639.1)". The record is from RNAcentral. Lineage: Eukaryota; Metazoa; Chordata; Mammalia; Artiodactyla; Bovidae.
AAUUCCAUGGGUCCAAGGGGUCGCAAAGAGUCGGAUACAACUGAGCGACUUUCACUCAGAUGCCAUCAGCCAGUGAGGCCCCGAGGCUGCAGAGCUGCAGGCGAUGGUGCCCCGUGGAUGUGUGGAGAGGCACCGAAGGGUCCAAGUCCUACAAACACUCGCUUAGAGACCCCGUGGCCCGGGUUCUCUGGGAGCGCAGUGUUGAGAGGCGCCGUCUUCCGGAUGGGGACGCACCAAGGGGAUGGGAAGUGGAAUCUGCCCUCAUACGUCCAGGGGCCCCUCUGGAUGUGGUACCCAGGACCAGCCACAGUGAUGAGAAUUCCCGGAUGCCCACGCUUACCACCAGCUUUUACCAGGAGGCUUUGGAGUUUCAGGACUGCCUAGGUCACCUUUGGAGUUCAGAGCAGGGUAAGCGUUUACUAACCCAGCAACCAUGUAACUGA